GAUGAACGCUGGCGGCGUGCUUAACACAUGCAAGUCGAACGAAGCACCUCUCCCGAAGAUUGACACAGCUUGCUGUAGAUUGAUUCAUUUGAGGUGACUGAGUGGCGGACGGGUGAGUAACGCGUGGGUAACCUGCCUCAUGGAGGGGGACAACAGUUGGAAACGACUGCUAAUACCGCAUAGUAAGAAGAAUUCGCAUGUUUUCUUCUUGAAAGAUUUAUCGCUAUGAGAUGGACCCGCGUCUGAUUAGCUAGUUGGUAAGGUAACGGCUUACCAAGGCGACGAUCAGUAGCCGGCUUGAGAGAGUGAACGGCCACAUUGGGACUGAGACACGGCCCAAACUCCUACGGGAGGCAGCAGUGGGGAAUAUUGCACAAUGGGGGAAACCCUGAUGCAGCGACGCCGCGUGAGUGAAGAAGUAUUUCGGUAUGUAAAGCUCUAUCAGCAGGGAAGAUAAUGACGGUACCUGACUAAGAAGCCCCGGCUAACUACGUG
RNAcentral lists this ribosomal RNA (495 nucleotides) under uncultured bacterium. Its description in RNAcentral is "partial 16S ribosomal RNA". It matches the Rfam family "Bacterial small subunit ribosomal RNA", at positions 28 to 507 of the family's 1533-position model. The record is from RNAcentral.